GGAAGAAGAUCACUCUUCAGGAUGUUGCUGAAUCAAAUGGAGAAAACGACGAACAAGUCCAAACUUGUCAAGUGCUUCAGUAACUGGAAUGUGUGAGCUCCGUUUCACACCCAUUGAUGAGUCAGAAGUAGACUCAGAAAAAAAAAGAAAGAAAGAAAAAAGUGGUAGCCCAGAAGUUUUCAUUUAAUGCUGCAUGUACUUUUUUUUAAAGAAGCCAUGGAGGAUUUUCUGAAUCAAAGGGAGACUGAAAUGUUGGUUAAAAAUGCUGUACAGUAGAAAAUUGACAGAACACUGUAAACCAGCUAUGACUGAAAAAAUAAAAAUCAUUUAAAAAAUGAAAUUAAAGGCUUC
This 351-nucleotide long non-coding RNA is filed under the name Sus scrofa (pig). RNAcentral describes it as "lncRNA (ENSSSCG00030055450.1)". The record is from RNAcentral. Lineage: Eukaryota; Metazoa; Chordata; Mammalia; Artiodactyla; Suidae.